UUUAAGCUUCCUACGGGGGCUGCAGUGGGGAAUCUUGCGCAAUGGGCGAAAGCCUGACGCAGCCAUGCCGCGUGAAUGAUGAAGGUCUUAGGAUUGUAAAAUUCUUUCACCGGGGACGAUAAUGACGGUACCCGGAGAAGAAGCCCCGGCUAACUUCGUGCCAGCAGCCGCGGUAAUACGAAGGGGGCUAGCGUUGCUCGGAAUUACUGGGCGUAAAGGGAGCGUAGGCGGACAUUUAAGUCAGGGGUGAAAUCCCGGGGCUCAACCUCGGAAUUGCCUUUGAUACUGGGUGUCUUGAGUAUGAGAGAGGUGUGUGGAACUCCGAGUGUAGAGGUGAAAUUCGUAGAUAUUCGGAAGAACACCAGUGGCGAAGGCGACACACUGGCUCAUUACUGACGCUGAGGCUCGAAAGCGUGGGGAGCAAACAGGAUUAGAUACCCUUGUAGUCGAAUUCUUUAUC
This 460-nucleotide ribosomal RNA is filed under the name uncultured bacterium. Its description in RNAcentral is "bacterial SSU rRNA". It matches the Rfam family "Bacterial small subunit ribosomal RNA", at positions 329 to 807 of the family's 1533-position model. The record is from RNAcentral.